This 30-nucleotide non-coding RNA is filed under the name Mus musculus (house mouse). The record is from RNAcentral. Lineage: Eukaryota; Metazoa; Chordata; Mammalia; Rodentia; Muridae.
UGUGGAGACACGGAUGUGCCUAGCGGCUGU